AUGAGCACACACUGGGAGAGGUCAUACAUCGUAUCAUCCUAUGGAGAAAGGAUUGCAUCAUCUUUCGAAGGCCACCGACACCGCGUCAGCAGACUCCUCCUCGAAGUCCGCCACCGAGUCAGCAGACUCCCGCUCCUCCAAGUCCACGAACGCGUCAGCCGACUCCUCCUCGAAGUCCGCCACCAUGUCAGCAGACUCCCGCUCCUUCAAGUCCACGAACGCGUGAGCCGACUCCUCCUUGAAGUCCGCCACCGUGUCAGCAAACUCCCGCUCCUCCAAGUCCACAAACGCGUGAGCCGACUCCUCCUCGAAGUCCGCCACCGUGUCAGCAGAUUCCCGCUCCUCCAAGUCCACGAACGCGUGAGCCGACUCCUCCUCGAAGUCCGCCACCGUGUCAGCAGACUCCCGCUCCUCCAAGUCCACCAGUGCGUGAGCAAAUUCCUGCUCCAACUCAGCCACGUCAGCCGUCUCCGCCGCCUCAACAAUCGUAGAAGAGACACCCCGCAGCUAUGGUGCGUAGCGGUACGAGUCGAGGUAGUACAAGAGGUACAGGCGGAGAUAAGCGAUAUAAAUAUGGUCCAAGCCUCGCUCCUCUUCCUCAGAGGCCUUACGACAUGA
RNAcentral lists this ribosomal RNA (618 nucleotides) under Triticum aestivum (bread wheat). RNAcentral describes it as "partial small subunit ribosomal RNA". Lineage: Eukaryota; Viridiplantae; Streptophyta; Magnoliopsida; Poales; Poaceae. The record is from RNAcentral.